UAGGGAAUCUUCGGCAAUGGGGGCAACCCUGACCGAGCAACGCCGCGUGAGUGAAGAAGGUUUUCGGAUCGUAAAGCUCUGUUGUAAGUCAAGAACGAGUGUGAGAGUGGAAAGUUCACACUGUGACGGUAGCUUACCAGAAAGGGACGGCUAACUACGUGCCAGCAGCCGCGGUAAUACGUAGGUCCCGAGCGUUGUCCGGAUUUAUUGGGCGUAAAGCGAGCGCAGGCGGUUUGAUAAGUCUGAAGUUAAAGGCUGUGGCUCAACCAUAGUUCGCUUUGGAAACUGUCAAACUUGAGUGCAGAAGGGGAGAGUGGAAUUCCAUGUGUAGCGGUGAAAUGCGUAGAUAUAUGGAGGAACACCGGUGGCGAAAGCGGCUCUCUGGUCUGUAACUGACGCUGAGGCUCGAAAGCGUGGGGAGCAAACAGGAUUAGAUACCCUGGUAGUCCACGCCGUAAACGAUGAGUGCUAGGUGUUGGGUCCUUUCCGGGACUCAGUGCCGCAGCUAACGCAUUAAGCACUCCGCCUGGGGAGUACGACCGCAAGGUUG
RNAcentral lists this ribosomal RNA (550 nucleotides) under uncultured bacterium. RNAcentral describes it as "bacterial SSU rRNA". It matches the Rfam family "Bacterial small subunit ribosomal RNA", at positions 355 to 896 of the family's 1533-position model. The record is from RNAcentral.